AGAGUUUGAUCCUGGCUCAGAGCGAACGCUGGCGGCAGGCUUAACACAUGCAAGUCGAACGCUCACCUUCGGGUGGGAGUGGCAGACGGGUGAGUAACACGUGGGAACGUGCCCUUCAGUUCGGGACAACUCAGGGAAACUUGAGCUAAUACCGGAUACGCCCUUUGGGGGAAAGAUUUAUUGCUGAAGGAUCGGCCCGCGUCUGAUUAGCUAGUUGGUGAGGUAAUGGCUCACCAAGGCGACGAUCAGUAGCUGGUCUGAGAGGAUGAUCAGCCACACUGGGACUGAGACACGGCCCAGACUCCUACGGGAGGCAGCAGUGGGGAAUAUUGGACAAUGGGCGCAAGCCUGAUCCAGCCAUGCCGCGUGUGUGAUGAAGGCCUUAGGGUUGUAAAGCACUUUCGUCCGGGACGAUAAUGACGGUACCGGAAGAAGAAGCCCCGGCUAACUUCGUGCCAGCAGCCGCGGUAAUACGAAGGGGGCUAGCGUUGCUCGGAAUCACUGGGCGUAAAGGGCGCGUAGGCGGCCAUUCAAGUCAGAGGUGAAAGCCCAAGGCUCAACCUUGGAAUUGCCUUUUGAUACUGUUUGGCUUGAGACCGGAAGAGGUUAGUGGAACUGCGAGUGUAGAGGUGAAAUUCGUAGAUAUUCGCAAGAACACCAGUGGCGAAGGCGGCUAACUGGUCCGGUUCUGCGCUGAGGCGCGAAAGCGUGGGGAGCAAACAGGAUUAGAUACCCUAGUAGUCC
This 744-nucleotide ribosomal RNA is filed under the name uncultured bacterium. RNAcentral describes it as "bacterial SSU rRNA". It matches the Rfam family "Bacterial small subunit ribosomal RNA", at positions 8 to 796 of the family's 1533-position model. The record is from RNAcentral.